CUACGGGGGGCUCCAGUGGGGAAUAUUGCACAAUGGAGGAAACUCUGAUGCAGCAACGCCGCGUGGAGGAUGACACUUUUCGGAGCGUAAACUCCUUUUAUAUAGGAAGAAGAUGACGGUACUAUAUGAAUAAGCGCCGGCUAACUCCGUGCCAGCAGCCGCGGUAAUACGGAGGGCGCAAGCGUUACUCGGAAUCACUGGGCGUAAAGAGCGUGUAGGCGGAUUAAAAAGUCAGAAGUGAAAUCCUAUAGCUUAACUAUAGAACUGCUUCUGAAACUCUUAAUCUAGAAUGUGGGAGAGGUAGAUGGAAUUUCUGGUGUAGGGGUAACAUCCGUAGAGAUCAGAAGGAAUACCGAUUGCGAAGGCGAUCUACUAGAACAUUAUUGACGCUGAGACGCGAAAGCGUGGGGAGCAAACAGGAUUAGAUACCCUUGUAGUC
Molecule: ribosomal RNA, 439 nt
Filed under: uncultured bacterium
Lineage: Bacteria
Description: partial 16S ribosomal RNA
Rfam family: Bacterial small subunit ribosomal RNA
Source: RNAcentral